UGGCGGUUAAAGCGCCGGGGUCCCACCUCAUCCCAUUCCGAACUGAGAAGUUAAGCCCGGCCGCGCCGAUGGUACUGCACUACCAUGUGGAAGAGUAGGUCGUCGCCA
This 108-nucleotide ribosomal RNA is filed under the name human gut metagenome. RNAcentral also lists the same sequence under 1 other name. The record is from RNAcentral.